This 497-nucleotide ribosomal RNA is filed under the name uncultured bacterium. Its description in RNAcentral is "partial 16S ribosomal RNA". It matches the Rfam family "Bacterial small subunit ribosomal RNA", at positions 28 to 507 of the family's 1533-position model. The record is from RNAcentral.
GAUGAACGCUGGCGGCGUGCCUAAUACAUGCAAGUCGAGCGAACAGACGAGGAGCUUGCUCCUCUGACGUUAGCGGCGGACGGGUGAGUAACACGUGGAUAACCUACCUAUAAGACUGGGAUAACUUCGGGAAACCGGAGCUAAUACCGGAUAAUAUAUUGAACCGCAUGGUUCAAUAGUGAAAGACGGUUUUGCUGUCACUUAUAGAUGGAUCCGCGCCGCAUUAGCUAGUUGGUAAGGUAACGGCUUACCAAGGCAACGAUGCGUAGCCGACCUGAGAGGGUGAUCGGCCACACUGGAACUGAGACACGGUCCAGACUCCUACGGGAGGCAGCAGUAGGGAAUCUUCCGCAAAGGGCGAAAGCCUGACGGAGCAACGCCGCGUGAGUGAUGAAGGUCUUCGGAUCGUAAAACUCUGUUAUUAGGGAAGAACAAAUGUGUAAGUAACUAUGCACGUCUUGACGGUACCCAAUCAGAAAGCCACGGCUAACUACGUG